Molecule: ribosomal RNA, 497 nt
Filed under: uncultured bacterium
Lineage: Bacteria
Description: partial 16S ribosomal RNA
Rfam family: Bacterial small subunit ribosomal RNA
Source: RNAcentral
GAUGAACGCUGGCGGCGUGCCUAAUACAUGCAAGUCGAGCGAACAGACGAGGAGCUUGCUCCUUUGACGUUAGCGGCGGACGGGUGAGUAACACGUGGAUAACCUACCUAUAAGACUGGGAUAACUUCGGGAAACCGGAGCUAAUACCGGAUAACAUGUUGAACCGCAUGGUUCAACAGUGAAAGACGGUCUUGCUGUCACUUAUAGAUGGACCCGCGCCGCAUUAGCUAGUUGGUAAGGUAACGGCUUACCAAGGCAACGAUGCGUAGCCGACCUGAGAGGGUGGAUGGACACACUGGAACUGAGACACGGUCCAGACUCCUACGGGAGGCAGCAGUAGGGAAUCUUCCGCGAUGGGCGAAAGCCUGACGGUGCAACGCCGCGUGAGUGAAGAAGGUCUUCGGAUCGUAAAACUCUGUUAUUAGGGAAGAACAAAUGUGUAAGUAACUAUGCACGUCUUGACGGUACCUAAUCAGAAAGCCACGGCUAACUACGUG